GCCGCCAUCGUCUAGUGGUCAGGACAUUAGUUUGUGGCUCUUCACCGACUAAACACUGAAAACGGCGGUUCGAUUCCGCCUGGCGGCA
RNAcentral lists this transfer RNA (88 nucleotides) under Moelleriella libera RCEF 2490. RNAcentral describes it as "Aschersonia aleyrodis RCEF 2490 tRNA". It matches the Rfam family "tRNA". From Rfam's summary of the family: Transfer RNA (tRNA) molecules are approximately 80 nucleotides in length. Their secondary structure includes four short double-helical elements and three loops (D, anti-codon, and T loops). Lineage: Eukaryota; Fungi; Ascomycota; Sordariomycetes; Hypocreales; Clavicipitaceae. The record is from Rfam by way of RNAcentral.